Molecule: ribosomal RNA, 253 nt
Filed under: uncultured bacterium
Lineage: Bacteria
Description: partial 16S ribosomal RNA
Rfam family: Bacterial small subunit ribosomal RNA
Source: RNAcentral
UACGAAGGGAGCUAGCGUUGUUCGGAAUCACUGGGCGUAAAGAGCUCGUAGGCGGUCUGUUGCGUCCGCUGUAAAAACUCGGGGCUUAACCCCGAGCCUGCAGUGGAUACGGGCAGACUAGAGGUAGGUAGGGGAGAAUGGAAUUCCCGGUGUAGCGGUGAAAUGCGCAGAUAUCGGGAGGAACACCGGUGGCGAAGGCGGUUCUCUGGGCCUUACCUGACGCUGAGGAGCGAAAGUGUGGGGAGCGAAUAGG